Molecule: long non-coding RNA, 1766 nt
Filed under: Homo sapiens (human)
Lineage: Eukaryota; Metazoa; Chordata; Mammalia; Primates; Hominidae
Description: HSALNT0118276
Source: RNAcentral
AGGUGGAGUUUCAAGUUUCGAACAGAGAAGAAGUUUCCGUGGCCGUCGCACUGAAAUCUCCUCCUCGCCAGACUUCCAGGAGCCUCAUCCCCCGGCCCCCUGCAGGCCACCUGCUCACCUGGGAAGCUCCACGUCCUUAUCUCUUCCUCCUCCAUCCAUGGCUCCUUCCCCUGCUCCAAACUGGAGAUCACAGCUGGUUUGCUGACUUGACACCCUCUUGGGGAGAAACGGUUAAAGGAUUUGUGCUGAGCCAGCUGGGCCUUCCAAGCAAGCAGACAGUUCAGCCUGCAAAACAAAAGGUGGACAUCUCAGCCACAGAGAGCUGUUUCGCUUGGCAGGUAACUUCACGAGGACUCCAAGUGGGAUCGAGACUCUGACCACUGAAACCCAAGGCCAAGCACUUUUAUUUUUCACACAGGGUCUUGCUCUGUUGCCCAGGCUGGAGUGAAGUGGCACAAUCACAGCUCACUGCAGCCUCAACCUCCUGCACUCAAGUGAUCCUCCCAUCUCAGCCUCCCGAGUAGCUGGGACUACAGGCAGGCAUCACCACCCUCAACUAAUUUUUUAAUGUUUUGGUAGAGAUGGGGUUUUGCCAUGUUGCCCAGGCAAGUCUUGAACUUGGGCCUCAAGGGAUCCUUCCAUUUGAGACUCGCAAGUAGCUGGGACUGCAGGCACAUGCCACCAUGCCUGGCUAAUUUUUUAUUUUUCGUUUGUAUAGAUCGGGUCUUGCACCUGUGGCUCAAGCAAUCCUCCCACCUCGGCCUCCUGAAGUGCUGGGAUCACAGGCAUGAGCCACCAUGCCCAGCUUAGCACUUUCAGUGCGUGAGCAGUUUCCCAGUUUUAUACAACUAAGAAAAAGAGUUCAUGUAACCCGAGGACCACGGGGAAGUCUUCCUCACCCACAGAGAGCAGGUGGCUGUAGUUCUCCAGCAUCACAUCCUGGUACAGGGUCCUCUGCUCCAGGUCCAGCUGCUGCCACUCUUUCCGGGUGAAGCCCACAGCCACGUCCCCGAAUGACAGUGACCCCUGGAACAGCACAUGGCUGAUUAAUGUGGAGUGGUUGGCACUGGGUACCAUGGCAAAGGCGUAGAGGAGAUUGAUCUUACCCCCUUCCGAGGUCAGCUUUCCCCAUAUUAGGUUACAUAGAAAGCUGAGCACACCCCUAACUUUGUACUACACUUUGUGGAAGAGAAAAAAAAAAUUGUUAGAAAAAAUAUCAACCGGGUGCAGUGGCUCACGCCUGUAAUCCCAGCACUUUGAGGGGCUGAGACAGGUGGAUUGCUUGAGGUUAGGAGUUUGAGACCAGCGUGGCCAACAUGGUGAAACCCCAUCUCUACAAAAAAUAUAUUAGAUGGACGUGCUGGUGGGUGCCUGUAAUCCCAGCUACCAGGGAGGCUCAGGCAGGAGAAUUGCUUCAACCCAGGAGGCGUAGCUUGCAGUGAGCUGAGAUCCCGCCCUUGCACCCCAGGCUGUACAACAGAGUGAGACUCCAUCUCAAAAAUAAAUAAAUAAAUCUCACUACUGGAUCUCCAUUCAUUCCUUCAAUGAUCAAGUGUCUUUCAGGGACCUCGCACACUGCUGGUGUUCUACCAGGCGCUUGGGGUCGAGGGCUGAACACAAAAUUGUUCCUGUUCUGAAGGUAGUUAGGAGUGUUGCUGCCAGAUGAACACAGGAAGACAGCUGUACCGUAAGAUUACACUAUAGGCGGUGGUAGACAUGUAGUUACAUACAGAAUGGGCACGAGGAAGACAGCAGCCAGAUCCAAC